Molecule: long non-coding RNA, 648 nt
Filed under: Cicer arietinum (chickpea)
Lineage: Eukaryota; Viridiplantae; Streptophyta; Magnoliopsida; Fabales; Fabaceae
Description: long non-coding RNA (CARI_LNC002790)
Source: RNAcentral
AAGCUCACCACGAUACUCCCAUUUACAAGCUAACCAUUCACUUCUGCUUAAGAUCAUAUUAGUCACUAAUUUAUUUUUAUCCAUCGUGGCACUAAAGAGUCUCAUAAAUCGAUUACUAAGAGUCACCCUACCAGCUACCACCCAUGGAUUCAUCCAGAAAAGCUGUCAAAACCAUUUACCACCUCCUUAACCAUGUUAUCCACAAAUACUAUAUUAAUUACUACCCCAACAAUGAUACAUGCACAAGUCUAAAAGAAACAAAGGAUGCGAACCCGAGUAAAAGUAAAAUACAAUUUACAAUUAUUAUUUUCAAUGUUAUAUGUCAGAGUGGAAUUUUUCCCAACUUGAACUUCAAGACUCGCUAAACUGAAAUAACUGUCAUUGUGGAAUUUUUCAGAGUGGAAUUUUUCAGAGUAAAAUACAAUAUAUGUCAGAGUGGAAUUUUUCCCAACUUGUAGCUAGUCCCUCUUACUCAUGUAAUCAACUACUUAAGAUAACCAUAAUUGUGGUCAUUCAAAUUCAAAUAUGAAUAAUUAAAAGUAUCUUCAAAGUGAUUCAGGAGUGCGAAAGCGACACCACAAAUACUAGUUCUUACUUCAAGUUAAAAAUUCACUUUAUCACACAUUCACAAUAAUUUAUUUGUAACCU